This 2930-nucleotide ribosomal RNA is filed under the name Escherichia coli. RNAcentral describes it as "23S ribosomal RNA". It matches the Rfam family "Bacterial large subunit ribosomal RNA". Lineage: Bacteria; Pseudomonadati; Pseudomonadota; Gammaproteobacteria; Enterobacterales; Enterobacteriaceae. The record is from RNAcentral.
GGGUUGUGAGGUUAAGCGACUAAGCGUACACGGUGGAUGCCCUGGCAGUCAGAGGCGAUGAAGGACGUGCUAAUCUGCGAUAAGCGUCGGUAAGGUGAUAUGAACCGUUAUAACCGGCGAUUUCCGAAUGGGGAAACCCAGUGUGUUUCGACACACUAUCAUUAACUGAAUCCAUAGGUUAAUGAGGCGAACCGGGGGAACUGAAACAUCUAAGUACCCCGAGGAAAAGAAAUCAACCGAGAUUCCCCCAGUAGCGGCGAGCGAACGGGGAGGAGCCCAGAGCCUGAAUCAGUGUGUGUGUUAGUGGAAGCGUCUGGAAAGGCGCGCGAUACAGGGUGACAGCCCCGUACACAAAAAUGCACAUGCUGUGAGCUCGAUGAGUAGGGCGGGACACGUGGUAUCCUGUCUGAAUAUGGGGGGACCAUCCUCCAAGGCUAAAUACUCCUGACUGACCGAUAGUGAACCAGUACCGUGAGGGAAAGGCGAAAAGAACCCCGGCGAGGGGAGUGAAAAAGAACCUGAAACCGUGUACGUACAAGCAGUGGGAGCACGCUUAGGCGUGUGACUGCGUACCUUUUGUAUAAUGGGUCAGCGACUUAUAUUCUGUAGCAAGGUUAACCGAAUAGGGGAGCCGAAGGGAAACCGAGUCUUAACUGGGCGUUAAGUUGCAGGGUAUAGACCCGAAACCCGGUGAUCUAGCCAUGGGCAGGUUGAAGGUUGGGUAACACUAACUGGAGGACCGAACCGACUAAUGUUGAAAAAUUAGCGGAUGACUUGUGGCUGGGGGUGAAAGGCCAAUCAAACCGGGAGAUAGCUGGUUCUCCCCGAAAGCUAUUUAGGUAGCGCCUCGUGAAUUCAUCUCCGGGGGUAGAGCACUGUUUCGGCAAGGGGGUCAUCCCGACUUACCAACCCGAUGCAAACUGCGAAUACCGGAGAAUGUUAUCACGGGAGACACACGGCGGGUGCUAACGUCCGUCGUGAAGAGGGAAACAACCCAGACCGCCAGCUAAGGUCCCAAAGUCAUGGUUAAGUGGGAAACGAUGUGGGAAGGCCCAGACAGCCAGGAUGUUGGCUUAGAAGCAGCCAUCAUUUAAAGAAAGCGUAAUAGCUCACUGGUCGAGUCGGCCUGCGCGGAAGAUGUAACGGGGCUAAACCAUGCACCGAAGCUGCGGCAGCGACGCUUAUGCGUUGUUGGGUAGGGGAGCGUUCUGUAAGCCUGUGAAGGUGUGCUGUGAGGCAUGCUGGAGGUAUCAGAAGUGCGAAUGCUGACAUAAGUAACGAUAAAGCGGGUGAAAAGCCCGCUCGCCGGAAGACCAAGGGUUCCUGUCCAACGUUAAUCGGGGCAGGGUGAGUCGACCCCUAAGGCGAGGCCGAAAGGCGUAGUCGAUGGGAAACAGGUUAAUAUUCCUGUACUUGGUGUUACUGCGAAGGGGGGACGGAGAAGGCUAUGUUGGCCGGGCGACGGUUGUCCCGGUUUAAGCGUGUAGGCUGGUUUUCCAGGCAAAUCCGGAAAAUCAAGGCUGAGGCGUGAUGACGAGGCACUACGGUGCUGAAGCAACAAAUGCCCUGCUUCCAGGAAAAGCCUCUAAGCAUCAGGUAACAUCAAAUCGUACCCCAAACCGACACAGGUGGUCAGGUAGAGAAUACCAAGGCGCUUGAGAGAACUCGGGUGAAGGAACUAGGCAAAAUGGUGCCGUAACUUCGGGAGAAGGCACGCUGAUAUGUAGGUGAAGCGACUUGCUCGUGGAGCUGAAAUCAGUCGAAGAUACCAGCUGGCUGCAACUGUUUAUUAAAAACACAGCACUGUGCAAACACGAAAGUGGACGUAUACGGUGUGACGCCUGCCCGGUGCCGGAAGGUUAAUUGAUGGGGUCAGCGCAAGCGAAGCUCUUGAUCGAAGCCCCGGUAAACGGCGGCCGUAACUAUAACGGUCCUAAGGUAGCGAAAUUCCUUGUCGGGUAAGUUCCGACCUGCACGAAUGGCGUAAUGAUGGCCAGGCUGUCUCCACCCGAGACUCAGUGAAAUUGAACUCGCUGUGAAGAUGCAGUGUACCCGCGGCAAGACGGAAAGACCCCGUGAACCUUUACUAUAGCUUGACACUGAACAUUGAGCCUUGAUGUGUAGGAUAGGUGGGAGGCUUUGAAGUGUGGACGCCAGUCUGCAUGGAGCCGACCUUGAAAUACCACCCUUUAAUGUUUGAUGUUCUAACGUUGACCCGUAAUCCGGGUUGCGGACAGUGUCUGGUGGGUAGUUUGACUGGGGCGGUCUCCUCCUAAAGAGUAACGGAGGAGCACGAAGGUUGGCUAAUCCUGGUCGGACAUCAGGAGGUUAGUGCAAUGGCAUAAGCCAGCUUGACUGCGAGCGUGACGGCGCGAGCAGGUGCGAAAGCAGGUCAUAGUGAUCCGGUGGUUCUGAAUGGAAGGGCCAUCGCUCAACGGAUAAAAGGUACUCCGGGGAUAACAGGCUGAUACCGCCCAAGAGUUCAUAUCGACGGCGGUGUUUGGCACCUCGAUGUCGGCUCAUCACAUCCUGGGGCUGAAGUAGGUCCCAAGGGUAUGGCUGUUCGCCAUUUAAAGUGGUACGCGAGCUGGGUUUAGAACGUCGUGAGACAGUUCGGUCCCUAUCUGCCGUGGGCGCUGGAGAACUGAGGGGGGCUGCUCCUAGUACGAGAGGACCGGAGUGGACGCAUCACUGGUGUUCGGGUUGUCAUGCCAAUGGCACUGCCCGGUAGCUAAAUGCGGAAGAGAUAAGUGCUGAAAGCAUCUAAGCACGAAACUUGCCCCGAGAUGAGUUCUCCCUGACYCYUURAGRGUCCUGAAGGAACGUUGAAGACGACGACGUUGAUAGGCCGGGUGUGUAAGCGCAGCGAUGCGUUGAGCUAACCGGUACUAAUGAACCGUGAGGCUUAACCUUACAACGCCGAAGCUGUU